Molecule: ribosomal RNA, 1434 nt
Filed under: uncultured bacterium
Lineage: Bacteria
Description: bacterial SSU rRNA
Rfam family: Bacterial small subunit ribosomal RNA
Source: RNAcentral
AGAGUUUGAUUCUGGCUCAGGAUGAACGCCGGCGGUGUGCCUAAUACAUGCAAGUCGUACGCACUGGCCCAACUGAUUGAUGGUGCUUGCACCUGAUUGACGAUGGAUCACCAGUGAGUGGCGGACGGGUGAGUAACACGUAGGUAACCUGCCCCGGAGCGGGGGAUAACAUUUGGAAACAGAUGCUAAUACCGCAUAACAACAAAAGCCACAUGGCUUUUGUUUGAAAGAUGGCCUUGGCUAUCACUCUGGGAUGGACCUGCGGUGCAUUAGCUAGUUGGUAAGGUAACGGCUUACCAAGGCGAUGAUGCAUAGCCGAGUUGAGAGACUGAUCGGCCACAAUGGAACUGAGACACGGUCCAUACUCCUACGGGAGGCAGCAGUAGGGAAUCUUCCACAAUGGGCGCAAGCCUGAUGGAGCAACACCGCGUGAGUGAAGAAGGGUUUCGGCUCGUAAAGCUCUGUUGUUGGAGAAGAACGUGCGUGAGAGUAACUGUUCACGCAGUGACGGUAUCCAACCAGAAAGUCACGGCUAACUACGUGCCAGCAGCCGCGGUAAUACGUAGGUGGCAAGCGUUAUCCGGAUUUAUUGGGCGUAAAGCGAGCGCAGGCGGUUGCUUAGGUCUGAUGUGAAAGCCUUCGGCUUAACCGAAGAAGUGCAUCGGAAACCGGGCGACUUGAGUGCAGAAGAGGACAGUGGAACUCCAUGUGUAGCGGUGGAAUGCGUAGAUAUAUGGAAGAACACCAGUGGCGAAGGCGGCUGUCUGGUCUGCAACUGACGCUGAGGCUCGAAAGCAUGGGUAGCGAACAGGAUUAGAUACCCUGGUAGUCCAUACCGUAAACGAUGAGUGCUAGGUGUUGGAGGGUUUCCGCCCUUCAGUGCCGGAGCUAACGCAUUAAGCACUCCGCCUGGGGAGUACGACCGCAAGGUUGAAACUCAAAGGAAUUGACGGGGGCCCGCACAAGCGGUGGAGCAUGUGGUUUAAUUCGAAGCUACGCGAAGAAACUUACCAGGUCUUGACAUCUUGCGCUAACCUUAGAGAUAAGGCGUUCCCUUCGGGGACGCAAUGACAGGUGGUGCAUGGUCGUCGUCAGCUCGUGUCGUGAGAUGUUGGGUUAAGUCCCGCAACGAGCGCAACCCUUGUUACUAGUUGCCAGCAUUAAGUUGGGCACUCUAGUGAGACUGCCGGUGACAAACCGGAGGAAGGUGGGGACGACGUCAGAUCAUCAUGCCCCUUAUGACCUGGGCUACACACGUGCUACAAUGGACGGUACAACGAGUCGCAAGCUCGCGAGAGUAAGCUAAUCUCUUAAAGCCGUUCUCAGUUCGGACUGUAGGCUGCAACUCGCCUACACGAAGUCGGAAUCGCUAGUAAUCGCGGAUCAGCAUGCCGCGGUGAAUACGUUCCCGGGCCUUGUACACACCGCCCGUCA